This 484-nucleotide ribosomal RNA is filed under the name uncultured bacterium. Its description in RNAcentral is "partial 16S ribosomal RNA". It matches the Rfam family "Bacterial small subunit ribosomal RNA", at positions 30 to 507 of the family's 1533-position model. The record is from RNAcentral.
AUUGAACGCUGGCGGCAGGCCUAACACAUGCAAGUCGAGCGGAUGAAGGGAGCUUGCUCCUGGAUUCAGCGGCGGACGGGUGAGUAAUGCCUAGGAAUCUGCCUGGUAGUGGGGGAUAACGUCCGGAAACGGGCGCUAAUACCGCAUACGUCCUGAGGGAGAAAGUGGGGAAUCUUCGGACCUCACGCUAUCAGAUGAGCCUAGGUCGGAUUAGCUAGUUGGUGGGGUAAAGGCCCACCAAGGCGACGAUCCGUAACUGGUCUGAGAGGAUGAUCAGUCACACUGGAACUGAGACACGGUCCAGACUCCUACGGGAGGCAGCAGUGGGGAAUAUUGGACAAUGGGCGAAAGCCUGAUCCAGCCAUGCCGCGUGUGUGAAGAAGGUCUUCGGAUUGUAAAGCACUUUAAGUUGGGAGGAAGGGCAGUAAGUUAAUACCUUGCUGUUUUGACGUUACCAACAGAAUAAGCACCGGCUAACUUCGUG